AACGAACGCUGGCGGUAUGCUUAACACAUGCAAGUCGAACGAACAAAAUUGGGGCUUGCUCCAAUUUUAGUGAGUGGCAAACGGGUGAGUAACACGUGGGAAUCUACCUAUCAGUACGGAAUAACAUUUGGAAACAGAUGCUAAUACCGUAUAUUCUCCAAGGAGGAAAGAUUUAUCGCUGAUAGAUGAGCCCGCGUAAGAUUAGGUAGUUGGUAGGGUAAUAGCCUACCAAGCCGACGAUCUUUAGCUGGUCUGAGAGGAUGAUCAGCCACACUGGGACUGAGACACGGCCCAGACUCCUACGGGAGGCAGCAGUGGGGAAUAUUGGACAAUGGGCGAAAGCCUGAUCCAGCAAUACCGCGUGAAUGAUGAAGGCCUUAGGGUUGUAAAGUUCUUUUAGUUGGAAAGAUAAUGACGGUACCAACAGAAAAAGCCCCGGCUAACUCCGUG
RNAcentral lists this ribosomal RNA (450 nucleotides) under uncultured organism. RNAcentral's name for it is "bacterial SSU rRNA". It matches the Rfam family "Bacterial small subunit ribosomal RNA", at positions 29 to 507 of the family's 1533-position model. The record is from RNAcentral.